Molecule: ribosomal RNA, 747 nt
Filed under: uncultured bacterium
Lineage: Bacteria
Description: bacterial SSU rRNA
Rfam family: Bacterial small subunit ribosomal RNA
Source: RNAcentral
ACGCUGGCGGCAGGCCUAACACAUGCAAGUCGAGCGGCAGCACAGGUACUUGUACCGGGUGGCGAGCGGCGGACGGGUGAGUAAUGCCUAGGAAUCUGCCUGGUAGUGGGGGAUAACGUUCGGAAACGGACGCUAAUACCGCAUACGUCCUACGGGAGAAAGUGGGGGGUCUUCGGACCUCACGCUAUCAGAUGAGCCUAGGUCGGAUUAGCUAGUUGGUGAGGUAAUGGCUCACCAAGGCGACGAUCCGUAACUGGUCUGAGAGGAUGAUCAGUCACACUGGAACUGAGACACGGUCCAGACUCCUACGGGAGGCAGCAGUGGGGAAUAUUGGACAAUGGGCGAAAGCCUGAUCCAGCCAUGCCGCGUGUGUGAAGAAGGUCUUCGGAUUGUAAAGCACUUUGAGUUGGGAGGAAGGGCAUUAACCUAAUACGUUGGUGUUUUGACGUUACCGACAGAAUAAGCACCGGCUAACUCUGUGCCAGCAGCCGCGGUAAUACAGAGGGUGCAAGCGUUAAUCGGAAUUACUGGGCGUAAAGCGCGCGUAGGUGGUUAGUUAAGUUGGAUGUGAAAUCCCCGGGCUCAACCUGGGAACUGCAUUCAAAACUGACUGACUAGAGUAUGGUAGAGGGUGGUGGAAUUUCCUGUGUAGCGGUGAAAUGCGUAGAUAUAGGAAGGAACGCCAGUGGCGAAGGCGACCACCUGGACUGAUACUGACACUGAGGUGCGAAAGCGUGGGGAGCAAAC